Non-coding RNA from Caenorhabditis elegans, 150 nucleotides. NCBI's taxonomy places the organism in Eukaryota, Metazoa, Nematoda, Chromadorea, Rhabditida, Rhabditidae. The record is from Ensembl.
AAGUCUACGGAUAGACAAUUGAAAAUCGAAAACAAAACUGGAAAAACGAUGAAAUCAAAUUGUCUUACCUUAGCCUCAGCUUCAUAUCCAUUUUUUGGGUCUAGGUAUGCCGUCCGGACAACGUCAAGAAUCUUGAGUGGAGCCGGAUAG